GUGUGUGUUUGGUUUGUUCAUGUACUGAUUUUGUGUCAUGGAUGGAUACCCUAUAUUCUUUGUUUUUUGUUUGUGUUUGGUUUGUUCAUGUACUGAUUUUGUGUCAUGGAUGGAUUCCCUAUAUCCUUUGUUUUUUGUGUGUGUUUGGUUUGUUCAUGUACUGAUUUUGUGUCAUGGAUGGAUACCCUAUAUAUUUUGUUUUUUGUUUGUGUUUGGUUUGUUCAUGUACUGAUUUUGUGUCAUGCAUGGAUACCCUAUAUCCUUUGUUUUUUGUGUGUGUUUGGUUUGUUCAUGUACUGAUUUUGUUUCAUAGAUGGAUUCCCUAUAUCCUUUGUUUUU
RNAcentral lists this long non-coding RNA (339 nucleotides) under Mytilus galloprovincialis (Mediterranean mussel). Lineage: Eukaryota; Metazoa; Mollusca; Bivalvia; Mytilida; Mytilidae. The record is from RNAcentral.